This 465-nucleotide ribosomal RNA is filed under the name uncultured bacterium. RNAcentral's name for it is "bacterial SSU rRNA". It matches the Rfam family "Bacterial small subunit ribosomal RNA", at positions 917 to 1382 of the family's 1533-position model. The record is from RNAcentral.
GGGCCCGCACAAGCGGAGGAACAUGUGGUUUAAUUCGAUGAUACGCGAGGAACCUUACCCGGGAUUGAAAUGUACCUGACAGGCUUGGAAACAGGUCCUCUAGCAAUAGCAGGUAUGUAGGUGCUGCAUGGUUGUCGUCAGCUCGUGCCGUGAGGUGUCGGCUUAAGUGCCAUAACGAGCGCAACCCUCAUUGAUAGUUACUAACAGGUAAAGCUGAGGACUCUAUUAAGACUGCCGGCGUAAGCUGUGAGGAAGGUGGGGAUGACGUCAAAUCAGCACGGCCCUUACAUCCGGGGCGACACACGUGUUACAAUGGUGGGGACAAAGGGCAGCUACCUGGCGACAGGAUGCGAAUCUCCAAACCCCAUCUCAGUUCGGAUCGGAGUCUGCAACUCGACUCCGUGAAGCUGGAUUCGCUAGUAAUCGCGCAUCAGCCAUGGCGCGGUGAAUACGUUCCCGGGCCUU